RNAcentral lists this ribosomal RNA (880 nucleotides) under uncultured bacterium. RNAcentral describes it as "bacterial SSU rRNA". It matches the Rfam family "Bacterial small subunit ribosomal RNA", at positions 56 to 932 of the family's 1533-position model. The record is from RNAcentral.
UGCAAGUCGAACGUGAUUCCCGACUUCGGUUGGGAUGAAAGUGGCGAACGGGUGAGUAACACGUAAGUAAUCUGCCUUCAAGUUUGGGAUAACCCUGCCAACGCGGGGCUAAUACCGGAUGUGGUCCAGCAGACCCAUGUUUGCGGGAUUAAAGGUCGCGAGACCGCUUGGAGAUGAGCUUGCGGCCCAUUAGCUAGUUGGUGAGGUAACGGCCCACCAAGGCAGGGAUGGGUAGCCGGCCUGAGAGGGUGUACGGCCACAUUGGGACUGAGAUACGGCCCAGACUCCUACGGGAGGCAGCAGUAGGGAAUUUUGCGCAAUGGACGGAAGUCUGACGCAGCAACGCCGCGUGAAGGAUGAAGGCCUUCGGGUUGUAAACUUCUGUUGGAUGGGAAAAAAAGCCUUUUAAGAGGAAUUGAUGGUACCAUUCGAGUAAGCACCGGCUAACUACGUGCCAGCAGCCGCGGUAAUACGUAGGGUGCGAGCGUUGUUCGGAAUCACUGGGCGUAAAGGGAGCGUAGGCGGAACUGUAAGUUAGAAGUUUAAUACAUGGGCUCAACCCGUGGUCUGCUUUUAAUACUGCGGUUCUUGAGUAUGGGAGAGGGCGAUGGAAUUCCAGGUGUAGCGGUGGAAUGCGUAGAUAUCUGGAAGAACACCAGUAGCGAAGGCGGUCGCCUGGCCCAAUACUGACGCUGAGGCUCGAAAGCUGGGGGAGCAAACAGGAUUAGAUACCCUGGUAGUCCCAGCCGUAAACGAUGGACACUAGUUGCCGGGAGAGUCAAUCCUUCGGUGACGAAGCUAACGCAUUAAGUGUCCCGCCUGGGGAGUACGCCCGCAAGGGUGAAACUCAAAGGGAAUUGACGGGGGCCCGCACAAGCGG